GCGGGGAUGGCAGAGUGGUCAAUUGCAUCAGACUGUAAAUCUGACGGUCUUUGUACCUACGGGGGUUCGAAUCCCUCUCCCCGCA
This 85-nucleotide transfer RNA is filed under the name Candidatus Spechtbacteria bacterium SB0662_bin_43. RNAcentral describes it as "tRNA-Tyr". It matches the Rfam family "tRNA". Rfam says of the family: Transfer RNA (tRNA) molecules are approximately 80 nucleotides in length. Their secondary structure includes four short double-helical elements and three loops (D, anti-codon, and T loops). The record is from RNAcentral. Lineage: Bacteria; Candidatus Spechtiibacteriota.